UACGUAGGGUCCGAGCGUUGUCCGGAAUUAUUGGGCGUAAAGGGCUCGUAGGCGGUCUGUCGCGUCGGGAGUGAAAACUCACAGCUUAACUGUGGGCGUGCGGGCGAUACGGGCAGACUGGAGUACUGCAGGGGAGACUGGAAUUCCUGGUGUAGCGGUGGAAUGCGCAGAUAUCAGGAGGAACACCGGUGGCGAAGGCGGGUCUCUGGGCAGUAACUGACGCUGAGGAGCGAAAGCGUGGGGAGCGAACAGG
Molecule: ribosomal RNA, 253 nt
Filed under: uncultured bacterium
Lineage: Bacteria
Description: partial 16S ribosomal RNA
Rfam family: Bacterial small subunit ribosomal RNA
Source: RNAcentral